GUCUACGGCCACGCCACCCUGAACGUGCCCGAUCCCGUCUGAUCUCGGAAGCUAAGCAGGGUCGGGCCUGGUUAGUGCUUGGAUGGGAGACCACCCAGGAAGACCAGGUGCUGUAGGCG
Molecule: ribosomal RNA, 119 nt
Filed under: Pteropus alecto (black flying fox)
Lineage: Eukaryota; Metazoa; Chordata; Mammalia; Chiroptera; Pteropodidae
Source: RNAcentral